UGAGUAACCUGCCCUUAACUCUGGGAUAAGCCUGGGAAACUGGGUCUAAUACCGGAUAUGACUCCUCAUCGCAUGGUGGGGGGUGGAGAGCUUUUGUGGUUUUGGAUGGACUCGCGGCCUAUCAGCUUGUUGGUGAGGUAAUGGCUUACCAAGGCGACGACGGGUAGCCGGCCUGAGAGGGCGUCCGGCCACACGUGGGACUGAGACACGGCCCAGACUCCGUACGGGAGGCAG
Molecule: ribosomal RNA, 234 nt
Filed under: uncultured bacterium
Lineage: Bacteria
Description: partial 16S ribosomal RNA
Rfam family: Bacterial small subunit ribosomal RNA
Source: RNAcentral